GGCGGACGUAGCCAAGUGGUUCCAAGGCAGUGGAUUGUGA
RNAcentral lists this transfer RNA (40 nucleotides) under Juniperus brevifolia. RNAcentral's name for it is "partial tRNA-His". The record is from RNAcentral. Lineage: Eukaryota; Viridiplantae; Streptophyta; Pinopsida; Cupressales; Cupressaceae.